AUGAAGACGAAGAGUUUACGUAGUUGUGUUCGACGAUUGAGUAUUGGACAAUGUCUACUGAAGCAAGAUCAACCACUAAAUUGUGUCGAAUUCUAUAUAAACUUGUUUGUUCAACUUAAUGAUCAAUGUCAUGGUUUUGAUGCUGCAAAACUAUUAUCUACGAGGUGUUGGGGUUGCGUCCCAUUUAGGUUUCAUGGUAAUGUAUACAUAUAUACUUAUUUAAUUUUGGAUGCAUUUCUAGGGUCGUUUUUCGCAAAGGGAGUGUACCUCACCUCUGCAUUUUCAGUGUUUAUUGGUAACCUUUCACGUAUACAUAUGUUAAAUAUGAUUUCGAUGUCUACAUUAAAGGGCCCCCACGUUAUAGUUUCGCCCCAGGCCCCUGUAUUCUCAGGACCGGCCCUGGCAAGCCCCAUGCUUAGCCACCCGAGGUUUUGCCAAGGAUUGCGGGUUGAGUACUAA
Molecule: ribosomal RNA, 459 nt
Filed under: Triticum aestivum (bread wheat)
Lineage: Eukaryota; Viridiplantae; Streptophyta; Magnoliopsida; Poales; Poaceae
Description: partial small subunit ribosomal RNA
Source: RNAcentral